GGAUGAACGCUAGCGGCAGGCCUAACCCAUGCAAGUCGAGGGAGAAGCCCUUUCGGGGGCAGAAACCGGCGCCCGGGUGCGUAACGCGUAUGCAACCUACCUUUCACAGGGGGAUAGCCCGAAGAAAUUUGGAUUAAUACCCCAUAAUAUUAUUGGAUGGCAUCAUUUGAUAAUUAAAACUGCGGUGGUGAAAGAUGGGCAUGCGUCCUAUUAGCUAGUUGGAGUGGUAACGGCACCCCAAGGCUACGAUAGGUAGGGGUCCUGAGAGGGAGAUCCCCCACACUGGUACUGAGACAGGGACCAGACUCCUACGGGAGGCAGCAGUGAGGAAUAUUGGUCAAUGGUCGGAAGACUGAACCAGCCAUGCCGCGUGCAGGAAGAAUGCCUUAUGGGUUGUAAACUGCUUUUAUAUGGGAAGAAUAAGGUGUACGUGUACAUUGAUGACGGUACCAUAUGAAUAAGCAUCGGCUAACUCCGUG
This 479-nucleotide ribosomal RNA is filed under the name uncultured bacterium. Its description in RNAcentral is "partial 16S ribosomal RNA". It matches the Rfam family "Bacterial small subunit ribosomal RNA", at positions 27 to 507 of the family's 1533-position model. The record is from RNAcentral.